This is a long non-coding RNA of Dreissena polymorpha, 657 nucleotides long. RefSeq lists it as uncharacterized. Lineage: Eukaryota; Metazoa; Mollusca; Bivalvia; Myida; Dreissenidae. The transcript is spliced from 3 exons. The record is from RefSeq and is a predicted model, not a curated record.
AAAUAUCCUGGUGUCACCAGUUUUCGCCGAUAGUCGUCGACAUCGUCCUCAGAGGUGGCAGCUUCAUGAUGAAUUUCAUCCAAGACAUUUGAAGGGUUCAUGGAUGAGGGCGUACAUUAUCAAUAAUUGGCGCGCAUCGUUUUUCGAAAAAAUCAACAGAUGUUCCAUGAGACUCUUGCACUAAUUGUGUUUGGGUGGUCUUUGCAAAAGCAAGAGAUGGUGCAAUAGCAAUAUCACUUAUGACAUUGGCAUUGAAUGGGUGUAUUCCACAUCGACGGAAAGCAGACUGAAUGUUCACGGGUGUAAGCGUGGCUGUGUACACCUUACAUGCAAUACAACAUACAUCAUUUGUGGUAACAACAUAACCCCAAGUAACUCUAAUAUGGUGAUGGCAUGCCGCAUUCCAUGCAUUUUCAAACGGACCGAAACACGAGACGUCCAUGGGUUGAAGUAUGUGGCUACAAUGGGGCGGAAGAACACAUAGAAUUAUAUGAUUUGAUUUUGCCCAUUCUAUUAAACCAAUUGAGACAUGGCUUUUAUGACCGUCAUACAAUAUCAGGAUGGGGUUGUUAGCAUCACGUGUUGGAAGCAAGGGUUCAAGAUGGUAUUUUAUGUAAUGAGAAAAUAUGUCGGUAUUGGACCAGCCGGAGUCAGACA